AUCACUAUCAGGAAGAACAUGUGGAAGGCCACCAUUAUGUAAUGGGUCAAGAAGUGAAAGGUCAUCCGCAGCAGUAAACUCUUCUUCUUCCGGCUCUUCCUGUUCGGGCUCAGGGGUUAAGACAGAUUCACUGUCGCUGUCUACUUCAAUGUUCUCGGGUGAAGUAGAGCGCUUCUUGAAACGUUUCUUGGACAUACUUGUUUCUUGAAAGAAUUCUCCUUCAUAUGUGUGUGGGUUAAUGUGAGGUUCGUAAUCCUCUUCAUUGAGUGUAGGUGGUCUAAAAUGUGGUGGCACUUCAUAAACGACAUCCCAACCUUUGAG
Molecule: long non-coding RNA, 321 nt
Filed under: Hordeum vulgare
Lineage: Eukaryota; Viridiplantae; Streptophyta; Magnoliopsida; Poales; Poaceae
Description: long non-coding RNA (HVUL_LNC004580)
Source: RNAcentral